Molecule: transfer RNA, 75 nt
Filed under: Micromonospora narathiwatensis
Lineage: Bacteria; Bacillati; Actinomycetota; Actinomycetes; Micromonosporales; Micromonosporaceae
Source: Rfam by way of RNAcentral
GCCCUCGUAGCCCAACUGGCAGGAGGCAGCGGCAUGAGGUGCCGCGCAGUGCGCGUUCGAAUCGCGCCCCGGGUA